AUUGAACGCUGGCGGCAGGCCUAACACAUGCAAGUCGAGCGGAUGAAGGGAGCUGGCUCCUGGAUUCAGCGGCGGACGGGUGAGUAAUGCCUAGGAAUCUGCCUGGUAGUGGGGGAUAACGUCCGGAAACGGGCGCUAAUACCGCAUACGUCCUGAGGGAGAAAGUGGGGGAUCUUCGGACCUCACGCUAUCAGAUGAGCCUAGGUCGGAUUAGCCAGUUGGUGGGGUAAAGGCCUACCAAGGCGACGAUCCGUAACUGGUCUGAGAGGAUGAUCAGUCACACUGGAACUGAGACACGGUCCAGACUCCUACGGGAGGCAGCAGUGGGGAAUAUUGGACAAUGGGCGAAAGCCUGAUCCAGCCAUGCCGCGUGUGUGAAGAAGGUCUUCGGAUUGUAAAGCACUUUAAGUUGGGAGGAAGGGCAGUAAGUUAAUACCUUGCUGUUUUGACGUUACCAACAGAAUAAGCACCGGCUAACUUCGUG
RNAcentral lists this ribosomal RNA (484 nucleotides) under uncultured bacterium. RNAcentral describes it as "partial 16S ribosomal RNA". It matches the Rfam family "Bacterial small subunit ribosomal RNA", at positions 30 to 507 of the family's 1533-position model. The record is from RNAcentral.